AAAAGACGAAUUCCCCUCCUGCAAUCAAUCAAAUAGGAAACGAGAGAGUGUUGGCUUGCGGAUAUUCAACCGAUCGAAAAGGAAUCCAAACAAAGAAGUUCUAUUUUGAAUUUAUUUCAUAGAGGGUUGACGUAUUCGUUCAUUCCCUUCCCAUGCCUGACCCUGAAACUUUGUUGCUCUUUUCUCCCUCGUGGAUCAUCCGUU
RNAcentral lists this long non-coding RNA (204 nucleotides) under Linum usitatissimum (flax). Its description in RNAcentral is "long non-coding RNA (LUSI_LNC005718)". The record is from RNAcentral. Lineage: Eukaryota; Viridiplantae; Streptophyta; Magnoliopsida; Malpighiales; Linaceae.